RNAcentral lists this ribosomal RNA (235 nucleotides) under uncultured bacterium. RNAcentral's name for it is "partial 16S ribosomal RNA". It matches the Rfam family "Bacterial small subunit ribosomal RNA", at positions 524 to 758 of the family's 1533-position model. The record is from RNAcentral.
UACGAAGGGGGCUAGCGUUGCUCGGAAUCACUGGGCGUAAAGGGUGCGUAGGCGGGUCUUUAAGUCAGGGGUGAAAUCCUGGAGCUCAACUCCAGAACUGCCUUUGAUACUGAAGAUCUUGAGUUCGGGAGAGGUGAGUGGAACUGCGAGUGUAGAGGUGAAAUUCGUAGAUAUUCGCAAGAACACCAGUGGCGAAGGCGGCUCACUGGCCCGAUACUGACGCUGAGGCACGAAA